This 4945-nucleotide long non-coding RNA is filed under the name Sus scrofa (pig). RNAcentral describes it as "lncRNA (ENSSSCG00015042341.1)". Lineage: Eukaryota; Metazoa; Chordata; Mammalia; Artiodactyla; Suidae. The record is from RNAcentral.
CAACCCUGCAGGUUGGCUCCGGGUGGGGCUCUGCCCAGAAGGGCUGGCGACGCUGCAGGAUGGGGCUGGAAGGGCUCCCUCCUCCACCUUCGGCUCCUGGUGCCUUUAUCCAGGGCUCCAUUACCCAAGCAGCUGAGGCCGCGGGCAGCAUCUCUGGCACUUGAAGAACCAGAGUCCCUCCAGCGAGCAGAGCAUCCGUAGAGCAGAGCCCACUCCUCUCAGCUUCUGCGGCAUCAUAAUCGGACCUUUCCCAUCUCCUCCACCCCAGCAGAGGUGGCAGCUGCUUCCUGAAGUGGUCACCUCUGUGACACCUUAGAGUCCUUUUCUACCCUAUUACCUAGUUGAUAGCUCUGCACCUGCUCAUCUCUGGGUUAAAUUCUCUGGUCAAAUCUGUACUAUGAUUUCCGGCUCCUGACCCCACCUGACUUGGUGGCGUCACUGGGAAGACACAGCCCAAGGCGGGGAGGGUCCUGCCACCCCCCACGCUUCCCCACUCCUGAGGGGACUAUUGUAGCAGCGCUGCUUCUCCUGCGCCUCCAGGAUGAGGGCAGAUAAAAGCCACUGUCUACCAUCACACUGAGCUCUGGCCACACACACUCGGGGGAGCUGACACUGGUGAGCAGCACUGGAGCCGGUGGGCACCCAGCCUUGCCUGGGGCCCCUUUCAAAGCAGGAGGGCUCGUCACACCUCCUCCCAACAUCGUGGGACCAGGGGAAGAGCACUCAAGGGUGACGGUGGGGGCGGAGAGUCUAUUCUGUUAGAGGAAAAUCCCAAGGAAAAUUUCCAAAACCUCAAGAGCCUCAAUCCAAAGAGAACACGUGAAGUUGAGAGCAGAAUGUCACUCCUUUUGACCGUCUCUCCAAAACCUGACUUGGCAGCAAGCCCAGGAAUAUCCAAUGUGGUUCCUAAAAAGCACAGGGAGAGCACACAAUUCCUUUUGUUCUUAAAAAAACUUGCUUUUUCCAGAUUCUGAGUUCCAUAAACUUCAAGCUACUUUAUUACAGUACACUUUUGAAAUGUUAUAACCCCAAAUUUCCCUUCUAUAAAUAUAUUUUUUGAACUAGUAACACUUUACUUUGGCUGCUUUUUUUGAAGCACAAGAGGAAUCAGUGACUAGGAAGAGCUAUCAUUUUCUGAGCUACGAACAAGCCAGGCACACUAGUUCCCUUAACUUUAAUCUAUAUUCACAUUAAUGCCUGUUGGUUUGAAUUCCGUAGGAAGGCAUGUGACAGAAACUCCGAAGUCACACACUGUGUUACACAAGGUAGAAGUUUGUUUCCCCGUCACAGAGUGAAUCCAGGGCUAGGAUGGCAGCUCCACAUCCAGUAGGGACAUGGGACUCCACCUGGUUUGUUGCUCGGCUGGCUUCGACAUGUGGCUUGUACCUCACGACCCAAGAUGUUGUUCAAGUUCCAGCCAUCUCAUCUGCAUUCCAGCAUGCAGGGAAGGGCUUGCUCAUGACUGGUAGGGCCACUGAGAAGUUAGACGCAUUGCUUCCACUGACAUCUCAUUGCCCGGAAUCAGUCACAAAGUCACACCAAGCUGCAUGGGGGGUUGGACAAUGCAGCCUUUGUUCCGGUAGCCGUGUCCUCCAAUCUACGCACGGGAAGAGCAGCUACUGGGAGGUGAUGAGCAGUCUCUGUGCCACACUGUGACCUGUCACCUCUGGUCCCGGAGAGGUGCCCUUCCUAACUUUACCCGCAUUAACAGGCUUAUUGAGAUACAAUUCACAUACCAUCUAAUUCAUCUGCUUAACAUGUACAGUUCAAUGUUUUUUAGUAUAUUGAGUUGUACAAAUUUUGGGUCAUUUUCAUUCUGCCCCCCAGAAGUAAACUCUGUACCGAUCAGCAGUCACCUGUCAUUUCUCUUGACUUCCUGCACCAGCCCUAGGCAGCCACAGAUGCACUUUCUGUUUCUGUGGAUCUAUCUAUUCUGGAUGUUUCAUGCAAAUGAAACCAGAAAAUGUGUCAUCUUCUGUGACUGGCUUCUUUCACUUAGCAUGUUUUCAGGGUUCAUCCACAUUGUAGUACGGAUCAAUUCCUUUUUAUGGCCAAUAUUCCCCUGAAUGGAUAUACGUUUUAUUUAUCCAUUAAUCAGUUAAUUGACACCUGAACUGUUUCUGCUUUCUGGCUACUGUGAAUAAUGCAGCUAUGAAUGUUCAUGGACAAGCUUCUCUGUGGACACUCUCGUUUCUCUCGGGUACAGCCCUAGGAAUGGAACUGCUGGAUCACAUGGUAACUCUACGGAGAACCUACUGAGGAACUGUCAAGCUGUAUUAUCCCAAGUGGCUAUGCCGUUUGUUUUCCCAGCAACAAUGUACACAGAUUCUGAUUUCUCCACGUCCUCAACACUUGCUACCAUGUGACUUAGAUGACAGCCUUCCUCAUGGGUGUGAAGUGGUAUCUCACUGAGGUUUUGACUUGCACUUCCCUAAUGACCAAUGAGGUUGAGCAUCUUUUUUUUUUUUUGCUUUUUUUGCUUUUUAGGGUUGCACCCGUGGCAUAUGGAGGAUCCCAGGCUGGGGUCUAAUUGGGGCUGCAGCCGCCGGCCUAUGCCAGAGCCACAGCAAUGCAGGAUCCGAGCCACAUCUGAGACCUACACCACAGCUCACAUCAAUGCCGGAUCCUUAACCCACUGAGCGAGGCCAAAGGUUGAACCUGCAAGUUCAUGGUUCCUAGUCCAUACUCCAGGAUGUCGAGCAUCUUUUCCUGUGUUUAUAGCCAUCUGCAUACCUUCUUUGGAAAAAGAAGUCUAUUCAAAUUUUUUGCCCACUUUUAAACUGGUUGUCUUUUUCUUGUUGAGUAAGUGUAUCUUCAUUUCUCCAUCCAGGAGUGGAACUGCUGGACCACAUGAAAGCCCUUUAUGCCUUUAAUUCUUUGAAAAGCUGCCAGACUGUUUUCAAAGGCAGCUGCACCAUUUUACAUUCCCCCCCUGCAGCGUAUCUGGUUCCAGUUUCCCCACACUCUCACUCUGUGUUAUCUCUUAUCUGUCCUCUUGCUUGUAGCCCCUUCAGGAGGAUGCAGUUGUAUCUCAAUGAGGAUCUAAGCUGUAUGUCUCUGACUGCUAACGAGGUUGACCAUCUUUUUAGGUACUCAUUGGCCACUCGGGGAGCUUCUUUGAAAAAACUCUAUUCAGAUCCUUCCUUUGCCUAUCCCUUAGGUUGUGAAAUUUAUUUUGCUUUUCGAUAGUUCUGUGCCAACAGAUUAAGCUGUGCAUCUAAGCUGGGAUUUUUCCUAGAGAACACUAGUCUUUAUCAUAGGGAAUUCAUCAAGGCUUUCAAAGAGUUAGCAUCUACUCAGAAGUCACGUCAUAUGGUAUAAAUGCAGAUUUGAUUCAGCACAGACUCCCUAAGAAGAAAUUUUAUUGAAAUUUUGCUUUCAAAUUUUGAAGCAAAUCCACAAUGGGACAACAUGGGACUUGAAAGUAGCUUAGUUUUUAGCUGAGUGCUAAGGCAUUACCUAGGUGAAGUGCGAUAACAUUAAUUGUAAGCGACAAAGUACAAAGUUUUACAUUGAUUAUUUAGACUCAUGUUUAAAAAUACAUAAGCAAGUGAUCGCUGUAGUUAAUGACAUUAACAUAAAAUUGAAUAUGAUUCAACUUUCAGUAAUGAUGGGAUAAUUAAAAUUAUACUUUUAGCUAAAAAUAAUGCUUUUAAUUCUUCAUAGCUCUUUCCAUAAGCAAUAUUGAACAAAACAAGCAGGUUAAAAGCAUAACCUACAAAACAUCCUUAUUUUACAUGAAAUGUGAAAACCCCCAAAUCCACAGUGAAAUAAAUACGCAGAACUGUGGGGCUCUACAACAUUUCAUUAGUGAAGAUCCUCAGGCAGGGUAGGGCCAGGAAAGAAGAUGACGACAUGGAAAGAUGCUGGCCUGGAUGUCUGCAGACAAAGGUCUAUCACAGAGAGUCAAUUACUUCACCUCUUCGGACCUCAGUUUCCAAAUCCAUAAAAUGAAAAGAUGUAGCUGGAUGGACAUCUGAGGCCCAUCUCUACACGUCCUAUUAAUCUACAGUGACCAAAGGGCAUGGCUGGUGGAUUGGAUGGCAUUUUCUAAGGAAAAGUAAGUCCAAUGAGGCAAGAUCGUUCCAAAUCGGGGAGUCAGAUCCACUUUAGAAUAAGAAAAACUGUCCAUACAAACAGUCUAAUCCCCUAAUGGUUUGUUCAAUUGUCCGGCUGUGUGUGUGUGUGUGCAUGCACACACGUGCACACGCACAUGCACACACACAAAGCUAGCACUUUCCAAGUUUUGAUGCUAUUUCACAAAACGGUUGUCCCAAAUACUUGGAAAACAACAGGUUCAGCAAAGUUGUGGCAGACCCUUUUAGCUGCUUAACCAAAACCCAUUCUCUCUACUUUUUUUCUCCAUUUAACAUCAUUUUAGUUUGAUUUGAGGCGGCAGGAUGUCUGGACUGUGGACUGUGACCAGCCUAGGUUUAUCAUUGUAGUCCUGCUCUCUGCUCCCUCAGUCUCCCUGCAGCUACGGGUGGCAGGGGGCCAAAUCGCUUUAUGGCCAUGGAAGUCUCUUCUUCCAGAAGUACCUCCAGGGAUUACUUUUCCGGGGCCUAUGUUUUGGGAUUAUUGACACAGACUAACUUAAUUACAUAGUGGACAGAAGAAUAUACUCCCUGGCCAAUCCUGCCAGAAUGUUACUCAUCUUUUAGGCGUUUCUCCCAUAUAACAUUUAUUCCAGUUUCUCUCAAUAAAUAAAAAUCUGUAAUUCAUUCACAUACUGAAACUUACCUUGGCCCCAUUUUUGGAAAGGAUUGAAAAUGAAGGGGAAAAAAAUCUGUUGGCUAAGGAGGAACAUGUCUACUAAGUUUCUUGUCUAGCACAAGGCUACAGAACUCAGGAAUUCGUAUUUUCUGAGUACACAAAACAUAACACGCAUGUGAAUCAACCUUUUAGACGUAGCUGUCCUGUCAAACUAAAAAAAAAAAAAAAAAAA